GUAAUAUAAGAACCCGUCACUUAACUUUUAACUAAAAAAAUUAAGAACCGUUUUAAGAGCCGGUUUUUAGUUUUUUUACUUAAAAAUUAAGAGACAGGUUCUUAUAUUCC
Molecule: non-coding RNA, 110 nt
Organism: Brassica napus (rape)
Lineage: Eukaryota; Viridiplantae; Streptophyta; Magnoliopsida; Brassicales; Brassicaceae
Source: Rfam